Xiphophorus hellerii (green swordtail) is the source of this 216-nucleotide long non-coding RNA. RefSeq lists it as uncharacterized. The record is from RefSeq and is a predicted model, not a curated record. Lineage: Eukaryota; Metazoa; Chordata; Actinopteri; Cyprinodontiformes; Poeciliidae. The transcript is spliced from 3 exons.
ACCUGCAUCAGCCUGACGCACCUGCAGCGGAUUCCGACCUUGAUCACGUUUCCCGGAGCCAAGCCUGGAACUUCGCUGGUCGGGCGCGUCUCGCUGGUUGGCCCUACCAAGCCAUUCCGAUCCGCUGCUGUCCCGGACCCCCGAACCUACCUGGACCCUCGUUCCCCUUCUGACGUCCUCUAGUUUCGAUUCCUGAACAAUCGUUUAACUGAUUAA